GACAGACACAGCAAAACUUCUUGCCACAGCUCGCAUUGAUGUGCCAUCCUGGAUGAGUUGCACUACCUGAGCCACUUGUGUGGGUUGUAGACUCGGGCUCAUGCAACCACUAGAGUGAAGCACCGCCAGCAUUCAAAAGUGACCAAAACAUCAGCCAGGAAGCAUAGGAACUGAGAAGUGGUCUGUGGUCCCCACCUGCAGAACCACUCCUUUAUUGGGGGUGUCUUGCUAAUUGCCUAAAAUUUCCACCUGUUGUCUAUUCUAUUUGCACAACAGCAUGUGAAAUUUAUUGUCAAUCAGUGUUGCUUCCUAAGUGGACAGUUUGAUUUCACAGAAGUGUGAUUGACUUGGAGUUACAUUGUGUUGUUUAAGUGUUCCCUUUAUUUUUUUGAGCAGUGUACAUCUCACUCUUUUUUCCUCUCUCACUCUCAGAAUAAAUGUUUCAUGUCGAAUGAGAGAUCCAUUUCUGUCAGUCUCCUAUUUGCCUGAGGGGGCCUGCAAGGCAUAAGUAGAAAGAACUUUCAUUCCAUGUUUAUCAUCUCAAGUAUUCGGGCCAACAACCUACAUUGAUGACAGGGCUGUUGCCAUUGAUGACAGGAACUGUGAUGGUUACGAGCCACAAACAUGUUCAUGAAGUGAAGUCCGGCGGGCUUAGAUCAUGUGCUAACAACACGGAGCUUUUUGGACAUAAAUGAUGAGCUUUUUUGAACAAAACUACAUUCGUUAUGGACCUGGGAUUCCUGGAAGUGACAUCUGAUGAAGAGAAUCAAAGGGAUUCCUGAGAAAACCAGCAAACCAGGCUGUCGUCUUGGGAAACAGUGGAUGUAAAGAAUCUAGCUAAAGCAUAUACUGCAAAUUGAAUGUACAGUUACGUAAGCUUGCCUUGCCGUGCAAUGCUGCUGAAGUAACAUAGCUAGCUAACUAUUUACUUGCUUAUUGUGUAGUGGAGGAUAAAAAUAACUGUAUGC
RNAcentral lists this long non-coding RNA (968 nucleotides) under Salmo salar (Atlantic salmon). RNAcentral describes it as "lncRNA (ENSSSAG00000094281.1)". Lineage: Eukaryota; Metazoa; Chordata; Actinopteri; Salmoniformes; Salmonidae. The record is from RNAcentral.